Molecule: ribosomal RNA, 253 nt
Filed under: uncultured bacterium
Lineage: Bacteria
Description: partial 16S ribosomal RNA
Rfam family: Bacterial small subunit ribosomal RNA
Source: RNAcentral
UACGAACUGUGCAAACGUUAUUCGGAUUCACUGGGCGUAAAGGGUGCGUAGGCGGCCAUGUAAGUAGGGUGUGAAAUCCCCCGGCUUAACCGGGGAACUGCGCCCUAAACUGUAUGGCUGGAGUGAGAUAGGGGUGUGUGGAACUUCCGGUGGAGCGGUGAAAUUCGUAGAUAUUCGGAAGAACACCAGUGGCGAAGGCGACUUACUGGAUCAUGACUGACGCUGAGGCUCGAAAGCGUGGGGAGCAAACAGG